AUAACCUACCUAUAAGACUGGGAUAACUUCGGGAAACCGGAGCUAAUACCGGAUAAUAUUUUGAACCGCAUGGUUCAAAAGUGAAAGACGGUCUUGCUGUCACUUAUAGAUGGAUCCGCGCUGCAUUAGCUAGUUGGUAAGGUAACGGCUUACCAAGGCAACGAUGCAUAGCCGACCUGAGAGGGUGAUCGGCCACACUGGAACUGAGACACGGUCCAGACUCCUACGGGAGGCAGCAGUAGGGAAUCUUCCGCAAUGGGCGAAAGCCUGACGGAGCAACGCCGCGUGAGUGAUGAAGGUCUUCGGAUCGUAAAACUCUGUUAUUAGGGAAGAACAUAUGUGUAAGUAACUGUGCACAUCUUGACGGUACCUAAUCAGAAAGCCACGGCUAACUACGUGCCAGCAGCCGCGGUAAUACGUAGGUGGCAAGCGUUAUCCGGAAUUAUUGGGCGUAAAGCGCGCGUAGGCGGUUUUUUAAGUCUGAUGUGAAAGCCCACGGCUCAACCGUGGAGGGUCAUUGGAAACUGGAAAACUUGAGUGCAGAAGAGGAAAGUGGAAUUCCAUGUGUAGCGGUGAAAUGCGCAGAGAUAUGGAGGAACACCAGUGGCGAAGGCGACUUUCUGGUCUGUAACUGACGCUGAUGUGCGAAAGCGUGGGGAUCAAACAGGAUUAGAUACCCUGGUAGUCCACGCCGUAAACGAUGAGUGCUAAGUGUUAGGGGGUUUCCGCCCCUUAGUGCUGCAGCUAACGCAUUAAGC
Molecule: ribosomal RNA, 758 nt
Filed under: Staphylococcus aureus
Lineage: Bacteria; Bacillati; Bacillota; Bacilli; Caryophanales; Staphylococcaceae
Description: bacterial SSU rRNA
Rfam family: Bacterial small subunit ribosomal RNA
Source: RNAcentral